CUUAUUGUGAAAUAAUUGGGUAGUGGGCUUUGAUAAAUAAUAAUUUUCAAAUAAAAGGGUAUUUUUGAGAAAAAUACAAGAAAUUUGCGAGUCCUCACAGAGGGAGACUAAAUCUGGUCUUUCCCCAUGGGCGGAUGUACUUUUUAUAGUUUUUAGUUUCUCUUAUUUGAAUAAAUUUUCUCAUAGGAUUUUCUAAUGAGAGAUUCUUCUCUUCUAGGAUCUCCUAGUAAGAGUUUCUUCUCUCCUAAAUUGUUCUAAUGAGAGUUUUAUUCUCUUUUGGAUUUUUCCUUGUGAGAGUUUUUUAGAUUUUUAUCUUUGUGAAAUUUUAGAUUUUGUAGAUCUAGAAUC
This 348-nucleotide long non-coding RNA is filed under the name Coffea arabica (coffee). RNAcentral's name for it is "long non-coding RNA (CARA_LNC005965)". The record is from RNAcentral. Lineage: Eukaryota; Viridiplantae; Streptophyta; Magnoliopsida; Gentianales; Rubiaceae.